Molecule: ribosomal RNA, 98 nt
Filed under: Stenotrophomonas maltophilia
Lineage: Bacteria; Pseudomonadati; Pseudomonadota; Gammaproteobacteria; Lysobacterales; Lysobacteraceae
Description: partial 16S ribosomal RNA
Rfam family: Bacterial small subunit ribosomal RNA
Source: RNAcentral
UUUAAGUGAAGAGUUUGAUCCUGGCUCAGAGUGAACGCUGGCGGUAGGCCUAACACAUGCAAGUCGAACGGCAGCACAGAGGAGCUUGCUCCUUGGGU